Molecule: transfer RNA, 87 nt
Filed under: Candidatus Liptonbacteria bacterium
Lineage: Bacteria; Candidatus Liptoniibacteriota
Description: tRNA-Ser
Rfam family: tRNA
About the family: Transfer RNA (tRNA) molecules are approximately 80 nucleotides in length.
Source: RNAcentral
GGUGGGGUGCGUGAGUGGUUUAAACGGCAAUCCUGGAAAGAUUGUGUAUCAGAAAUGGUACCGUGGGUUCAAAUCCCACCCCCACCG